RNA transcript from Papaver somniferum (opium poppy), 1990 nucleotides. It is a transcript of the gene named target of rapamycin complex subunit LST8-like, with no coding region annotated. The record is from RefSeq and is a predicted model, not a curated record. The transcript is spliced from 6 exons. NCBI's taxonomy places the organism in Eukaryota, Viridiplantae, Streptophyta, Magnoliopsida, Ranunculales, Papaveraceae.
AACUCAGUUCUAUUUCUUCCUCUCACAGCCGCACAUCAAAUCCUUCUCUAAAUCAUUUCUCUUAGGGCUUGAUAGUCAUGUCUACUAGAAUACCGGAAUUUGAUUUUCUGCGCUACUAGAAAUAGAGGUGAAGGUGUUUAAUCAGGAAGUAUAAGAAGGCAUGGGGUUGAAUAUGAACAAUCUUAGACCGGUGAAUCUCACAGUGUUGUUGACUACAGAUUCACAAUGAAUAUGAUACAUGAUUUGAAAUGGUCUUUGUCGAUUUUCAAAAAUAAAGAUCGCAUAAUAGUUCCUGCUGCAGAUGAUGAGAUUAUGGAGGUCGAUGACUUUGAAUCCCCUGAAUAAAGAUUAAUGCUCUUAUUUCUGAUGUGGAAGAAUUUUUCACGCAGUGCAAUCCUUGUGAGGAUAUUUCUUCUCCUUCUAUCUAUAUCUCUAUUUACACCAUUUUUGUUAGUUUUGGGUUUUUUUUUUCCAUGUUUUUUAGUUUUUUCAGUAUGACUAGUAAAUCAGGGUUGAUUUGAGGGGGUUUUCUGGUUAGGGUUUUUGUUUUCUUGAUUUUUUGAUGUACAAUUUUGACCGACUUAUAGGAUUUGAUUUGAUUUUGAUUAAUAAUUAUUAGUGUUUGAAGAGGAUUUUAGUGUGGGGUUUCAAAAUGAGUGAUUGUAUGUUGUGUUAGCCUGAGAUAAUGGGUUUUGAUACUUAAGAAUGACCCAUGCAUGUGAUUUUUGUAGUUAAACUUUGCAUUGUUGCUCAAAUGGAGUUGUAGUAUGUGAUCAAAUUCUGGGGUUGAUGCUCAAAUUGAUUUUGUAAUUGAUUGUGUUAAGCCUUGGUUUGUAAUUGUUGGAAAUUCAUCAUUGGUGGAACUGCAAAUAUUCGUGUUUGGGAUUUGAUAGCAAAUUCAUGCAGUUGUGAGUUGGUGCCAGAGGUGGAUACGGCCGUACGAUCUGUCACAGUAAUGUGGGAUGAAAGCUUAGUUGUUGCGGCAAACAAUAAUGAAACUUGUUAUGUUUGGCGCUUGCAACGUGGGACUCAGACUAUGACAAAUUUUGAGCCGCUUCAUAAACUACAAGCACAUGAUGGUUACAUCCUGAAGUGUUUGCUUUCACCUGGUCAUAUAGCUCGUGCAUCUAUAAUUUUCAUAGUCGAUGAGGGAUUCGUCUUCAAGGGAAAAUGAGUGGAGUUGAUCAUAGGGCUUCAUUUUUUCAAUUAAAGAAAAUGAUUAGUUUGAGGGUUUAAGGAAAUAUGAAUUGUGGGUUUAUUGAGAAACUCAGAGACAGAAGAGUUAAGUGAAUUUAUUUUAUGAGAGGGAUUUUGUUUUGGGUAAACAGGUGGUGAUAUUUGACAAUAGUAGUGGUUCAGAUUAUGAUUUGAGGUUAGCAAUGAAAGAAGAUGCCGAUGGUAAUGAGAGCGGUACACAAUUUCUUAUAAGAAUAUUACAGUAUUUAGAGACACCUCAGUAUCUGAGACGUGUGCUUUUUCAGAUGCAUACAAGCUUAAGAUUUGUGGUACAUUUUCGUCCUUUAAAAAUGUGCUAUAAUGUAUGUAUUAGACAUGUAUAAAUUUGUGUAGUUGAUUAUGGAUAUGAAUUUACAAAAUCUGCUUGCAUUUUUGCGUAGGGUUUGUUAUUGCUGCAAUAUGUACAUAUACAAUGGAGGUUAUGAAGCCUAAGGUGUUGUAUCUUUAUACAUAUCUAUAAGUAGAGCUUGAUGAUAUUGAUACAUCUUUUUUUUUCUUCUGGGUGACAGGGGGAGAAUUCUGUGAAGGCACAAGUUUUCAUUUAGGUUCAAAGGUCUUGUAGAUGAUGGAAUUAGAUAGGGUAUUCAAUUAGGAUCAUCAUCAUCGGAGUUUACAAUUUUGCUGUUUAAUCAAUAGUUUUUUAGUUCAUCGUUUGUAAUCGAAUCCUAGAACUACAGAUUGCACUGGUUAGAACUACAGAUUUUAAUCACUUGUGUAAUUUGAAACCGCUGAAUCAAUGAAUGUUAAAUUGAAU